UACGUAGGGGGCAAGCGUUAUCCGGAUUCACUGGGUGUAAAGGGAGCGUAGACGGGAGAGCAAGUCGACUGUGAAAUCUAUGGGCUUAACCCAUAGCUGCGAUCGAAACUGUUCAUCUUGAGUGAAGUAGAGGCAGGCGGAAUUCCUAGUGUAGCGGUGAAAUGCGUAAAUAUAUGGAGGAACACCGGUGGCGAAAGCGGCUCUCUGGCCUGUAACUGACACUGAGGCUCGAAAGCGUGGGGAGCAAACAGG
Molecule: ribosomal RNA, 252 nt
Filed under: uncultured bacterium
Lineage: Bacteria
Description: partial 16S ribosomal RNA
Rfam family: Bacterial small subunit ribosomal RNA
Source: RNAcentral